AUGAAGUUGAACCUUGUUCGUGCCUGCCGCAUCCUCCUGAUUGCAGUUGCCAUCCUCCUUUGUCAGUUCUACUCGUCUGAAGCUCACAGAGGAUUGUUAGUACAUGAAUUAAGAGCACCAUACCGAUCUCCACCACCGACACCAAUUCCGAGACCACCAAUCAUCCCGUACUACGGUUAUACCCGUAAGUUUCGCUAGAUUUCAUAUCAUGAUUCAUGGCCUUCUAAUAUGCCAUAUUUAGAGUGGAUGUGGGAUUCAUGGCCUUCACUAGCUAAAUUAGUUGCCAUCUCGAUCCUAAUUUAGUGGCUCCUCAAUUAUAAGUAGGAUACUGUUGUUUACAGGACGAUCAGUAUAUGAAGAAAGAGCACCAUACAAAUCUCCACCGCCACCACCUCUUCCGGCACAAACAAGUAAACCCUAAAAUUAAUGGAGCAACAGGAUGAAUCACAUUCAGCAAAGAACCUCCCAGAUUACAGGGUAAGAUAAAAUGGCAUGAUAUGAGGAGUCAAGCAUAUGCAGACGGGAAAGAAAAGAUCCAUCCAUUACCAACAAAUACUACUAAAGAGAACUCUGCUUCUUUUCCUGAUAAAUUGUAAUCAGUUAACCAUGUUGCAAUAAAGUUACACAUUCUUAAAACUUUUGAGAGGAUGAUUUUUAAAAUAUCAGAUAACAUAAUUUACCUAAUCCACAUUCAAUGAGGCUAGCUUUGUUGAUUAAGAAAUCAUGCAUCAAGGCCUUGAAUAUUUUAGGAUCUAUUGAUCCUGCAAGAUGAUUUCCAAGUCAGAGACACAACAGCAAAAAUUGGUCCAUACAUGAGAUCCAGAGAGAUGAUUUCUAGUCAUAAGAUCAACUCAACUGUUGAGGAUGAAUGGCAUCAGUCCUUGGAACUCUCUAUAAGUGCCUGGACAUGAAAGAGUCAUGGUUUGCACAAACUCAUGCACAAGAAAGAAGCAUGCAAGUUCAUCUCAAGAGAAAUGGGUACUCAAGGUUUUAGUGACCUAGCAAAAUUUGAUGACUAAAUGCCACCCUUGUUGUGCAACUAGUUACUGGAAACAAUAAAUUUCAAUAUAUUUGCGGUUCAACUGUUCAAAUGCACUGCAAUGCGGUUUACUAAAAGCCAAUAUGAAAACACAGUUUCUCAAUGUGAAAAAGUACCAGGGCAUUAAAACUGGAUGAACAACAUGAAACAGAAAAACAGUAUGGGAAUAUCUUAAAAUAUCAACUACUACAUAUCCUAAAUAAGGAUCCUGGAGUAAGAAGAAAAGGCUCACGCACAAUAAUCAUUAAACCAAAUGCGAAAUCGAUAAUCCAAAGUAUGAGAAUACUAAUCAUGGUUACAACAUUUGACAUGAUCUACAGAUGGAAAACAGAUUCCCUGUCCAAAAAGUUACCUUUGAUCUUCUUUGUAUUCUUCUGAGAGCUUGCAUUAAUUAUCCUAAAUACAGAUUAAGGCCAAGUAAGCAGACAUCAGAGAAAAACAAGUUCAGAAUACAGUCAGCUUAUACACAAAGUACUUCAUUCUAAUCACAUAAAUGACUUUGAUAAUAAAACAAACUAAUCCUUAUCCAACAGAGUUAAUUGCAAGUCUAAAUGCAAGAAGACUACAUGUGGAUUAGCAUGUAUAGCUUCCAGUCAAUUUAAGAUCAACCAGCCACAUCACCACUUGCAUAUACCAUCUUUCAUGGCAUUUACAUAUAUAUCCUGUUUGGAAACAGUAUUUCCUCCAAAUUUGAUAUUACAUAUCCCUCCAAAAGUUCAGAUUUAUAUAUAUAUAUCCCUCCAAAAACUCAAAAUCUUUUAUUUCUGUCAUCCCUGAUAACAUCAACCCAAUAAACUCGAGUUAAUUACUACUAAUCAUUGUAAUCACUAAAUUUGAAUAAUUCUGAUUACCUAAAAUGCCCUUUGUUACUCCUGUUCAAUUAGAUGAUUCCUUAUAUUCACUAACAUUUUUUAAUGAGAUAUUAAUGUCAAUUUGAGUUUCAACCUCAUUAUAUUAAUGCUCAACUGACAGAUUAACUACAAUGACAUACAAGUUUUCGAGCUUUGCUUAAGUUAAGAUAAGGAACCAUGAAAACCACCAAC
Non-coding RNA from Musa acuminata subsp. malaccensis (wild Malaysian banana), 2082 nucleotides. The record is from RefSeq and is a predicted model, not a curated record. Lineage: Eukaryota; Viridiplantae; Streptophyta; Magnoliopsida; Zingiberales; Musaceae.